RNAcentral lists this ribosomal RNA (377 nucleotides) under uncultured organism. RNAcentral describes it as "partial 16S ribosomal RNA". It matches the Rfam family "Bacterial small subunit ribosomal RNA", at positions 528 to 897 of the family's 1533-position model. The record is from RNAcentral.
GUAGGCGCGAGCGUUGUCCGGAAUUAUUGGGCGUAAGAGCUUGUAGGCGGUUUGUUGCGUCUGCUGUGAAAGACCGGGGGGGCUUAACCCCCGGGUAUUGCAGUGGGUACGGGCAGACUAGAGUGCAGUAGGGGAGACUGGAAUUCCUGGUGUAGCGGUGAAAUGCGCAGAUAUCAGGAGGAACACCGAUGGCGAAGGCAGGUCUCUGGGCUGUAACUGACGCUGAGAAGCGAAAGCAUGGGGAGCGAACAGGAUUAGAUACCCUGGUAGUCCAUGCCGUAAACGUUGGGCACUAGGUGUGGGGGACAUUCCACGUUUUCCGCGCCGUAGCUAACGCAUUAAGUGCCCCGCCUGGGGAGUACGGCCGCAAAGGCUAA